RNAcentral lists this long non-coding RNA (709 nucleotides) under Olea europaea subsp. europaea. The record is from RNAcentral. Lineage: Eukaryota; Viridiplantae; Streptophyta; Magnoliopsida; Lamiales; Oleaceae.
AUUACCUCAAUUACCACUAAACUCCAAGGUCAUCAAACUUAUAGGAAAAUGAAAAAUAAUUUUCGUGUGCAACAUGGUUGUUAAGAAGUGAGGGAUAUGGUAGUUAAAAAGUAAGAGACUUAGAGACAGAUGGUGAAAAUUUAUUUAUCUAUGUUCAUCAACUAUAUUUCGAUGAUCAUUUUGGGGAAAAAAAAUCAUUUUUCUUUUGGCAAUCAAUUUAUAAAUGGUUUAUGAAUUCAUUAAAGUAAAAUAUUAAUUUUCAAUCAAAUAUUCAUAAUUACUACUCAUUUAUCAUCCACACUUUUUAGGAUCCACUACUAUCUCUCUUAUUCUAAUCUUUGUAAAUGAUUUACACAUUUAUCCAUUCGAGGUAAAUGAAGAUGUAAAAAUGACAGAGAUGGAAGAAUGUUAAAGAAAAACUUAGGCACCAAAGGUCUAAUGACGUUCAACAUGAUAUUAGAGUAAUAGGAUUCUGAUUCAAGACAAGUCAUCAAUGAAAUUCUAUACCCAUUAGAUGUUAAUGGGAAAAAAUAUAGCUCAUCAGCUCACCUUCACGUGAGUGUGUUAAUUACAAGAUUGGACCAAAUGGUUCGAAAAUUCACGUUAAGCUUCUUGAAGAAGAAAAUGGUCCACCAAAUAUUUUGGUGAUGAGAGAAUAGUGGGCAAAAUGGCGAUCUGGAUACAAGGGGAAUAAGUGUAUCAAGAAAAG